UAGCUAGUUGGUGAGGUAAAGGCUUACCAAGGCGACGAUCUGUAGCGGGUCUGAGAGGAUGAUCCGCCACACUGGAACUGAGACACGGUCCAGACUCCUACGGGAGGCAGCAGUGGGGAAUUUUGGACAAUGGGGGCAACCCUGAUCCAGCCAUGCCGCGUGAGUGAAGAAGGCCUUCGGGUUGUAAAGCUCUUUCGGCCGGGAAGAAAUCGCAUGGGCCAAUACCCUGUGUGGAUGACGGUACCGGAAUAAGAAGCACCGGCUAACUACGUGCCAGCAGCCGCGGUAAUACGUAGGGUGCGAGCGUUAAUCGGAAUUACUGGGCGUAAAGCGUGCGCAGGCGUUUUGUAAGACAGGCGUGAAAUCCCCGGGCUUAACCUGGGAACUGCGUUUGUGACUGCAAGGCUAGAGUACGGCAGAGGGGGGUGGAAUUCCAUGUGUAGCAGUGAAAUGCGUAGAGAUGUGGAGGAACACCAAUGGCGAAGGCAGCCCCCUGGGUCGAUACUGACGCUCAUGCACGAAAGCGUGGGUAGCAAACAGGAUUAGAUACCCUGGUAGUCCACGCCCUAAACUAUGUCAACUAGGUGUUGGGUGGGUAACACCAUUUAGUACCGUAGCUAACGCGUGAAGUUGACCGCCUGGGGAGUACGGCCGCAAGGUUAAAACUCAAAGGAAUUGACGGGGACCCGCACAAGCGGUGGAUGAUGUGGAUUAAUUCGAUGCAACGCGAAAAACCUUACCUACCCUUGACAUGCCAGGAACUUGCCAGAGAUGGCUUGGUGCCCGAAAGGGAGCCUGGACACAGGUGCUGCAUGGCUGUCGUCAGCUCGUGUCGUGAGAUGUUGGGUUAAGUCCCGCAACGAGCGCAACCCUUGUCGUUAAUUGCCAUCAUUUAGUUGGGCACUUUAACGAGACUGCCGGUGAUAAACCGGAGGAAGGUGGGGAUGACGUCAAGUCCUCAUGGCCCUUAUGGGUAGGGCUUCACACGUCAUACAAUGGUCGGUACAAAGGGUUGCCAAGCCGCGAGGCGGAGCCAAUCCCAGAAAGCCGAUCGUAGUCCGGAUUGCAGGCUGCAACUCGCCUGCAUGAAGUCGGAAUCGCUAGUAAUCGUGGAUCAGCAUGUCACGGUGAAUACGUUCCCGGGUCUUGUACACACCGCCCGUCACACCAUGGGAGCGGGUUCCGCCAGAAGUAGGUAGCCUAACCGCAAGGGGGGCGCUUACCACGGCGGGGUUCGUGACUGGGGUGAAGUCGUAACAAGGUAGCCGUAGGGGAACCUGCGGCUG
Molecule: ribosomal RNA, 1286 nt
Filed under: metagenome
Description: bacterial SSU rRNA
Rfam family: Bacterial small subunit ribosomal RNA
Source: RNAcentral